Molecule: ribosomal RNA, 253 nt
Filed under: uncultured bacterium
Lineage: Bacteria
Description: partial 16S ribosomal RNA
Rfam family: Bacterial small subunit ribosomal RNA
Source: RNAcentral
UACAGAGGGUGCGAGCGUUAAUCGGAAUUACUGGGCGUAAAGCGCGCGUAGGCGGCUUUGCAAGUCGGGUGUGAAAUCCCCAGGCUUAACCUGGGAACUGCAUUCGAGACUGCAUUGCUAGAGUAUGGGAGAGGGAAGUGGAAUUUCCGGUGUAGCGGUGAAAUGCGUAGAUAUCGGAAGGAAGACCAGUGGCGAAGGCGGGUCUCUGGACAGUUCCUGACGCUGAGGCACGAAGGUCAGGGGAGCAAACGGG